Molecule: ribosomal RNA, 382 nt
Filed under: uncultured eukaryote
Lineage: Eukaryota
Description: partial 18S ribosomal RNA
Rfam family: Eukaryotic small subunit ribosomal RNA
Source: RNAcentral
CAAUAGCGUAUAUUAAAGUUGUUACAGUUAAAAAGCUCGUAGUUGGAUUUCUGGUUGAAGCGACCGGUCGGGCGUUGAUUCGUCUGCACUGGAGUCGGUUUUGGCCAUCCUCUAGGAAAGUGCGUCUGGUAUUAAGUUAUCGGGCGUAUGAUCCUGGUCUUUUACUGUGAAAAAAUUAGAGUGUUUAAAGCAGGCCUUCGCCUUGAAUACAUUAGCAUGGAAUAAUAAGAUAGGACUUUGGUCUAUUUUGUUGGUUUGCAGACCGAAGUAAUGAUUAAUAGGGAUAGUUGGGGGUAUUUAUAUUCCGAUGUCAGAGGUGAAAUUCUUAGAUUUUCGGAAGAUAAACUUAUGCGAAAGCAUUUACCAAGGAUGUUUUCAUUAA